Molecule: long non-coding RNA, 394 nt
Organism: Dreissena polymorpha
Lineage: Eukaryota; Metazoa; Mollusca; Bivalvia; Myida; Dreissenidae
Exons: 3
Source: RefSeq, a predicted model, not a curated record
UAGAACUGUUAUUGAAGAUUAUUGACUUUGAUUGAUAUAUACGGACAACGGAACGAAAGUCAUUUUAAAUAUCUCCUGAACUCUUAUGAAGAUGAAAACGUUGCUAGUUUUUGUGGCCGUUUGCUUAGCCGUUACAUACUGUCAGAGUUGUGGGGGGACGGGUGACUGUACACACUGGUGUUCGGACGGCUACCACGCCCAAUGUGUCGGCGGCACCUGCACGUGUCCGGCUCACCAUUGUGGCGCCACCACGAAGUGUCCACAGGGAGCCGGAAGUGGAUGCCCUCCGUUCUGCUCUACCACGUGUACUACCAUGCUGUGCUCGUGCCACUGCUAGAACGCCUUGGUGCAGUGAAAUGUCUGCUGAACGAAGGAAUAAAAUGGGUUUAACAAA